CCUGUAAGUCUCGACCUUAGGGCCCCAUCGGGCCAUUUUUGUGGCCUGGUCUGGCUGGAGAAGGAGGAAUUUUGAGACUGUGUGGUGAUCGCCGGAUGCUGCUCUUCUGACUCUAUUCCCAAAAGAGACUCUGUGCAAGAAUUGGUUCCCAUGGGGUUUGGAAUAUAAUCUGAAUGAAAUCCCAAGACAAUGGAGGAGUUUCCCCUAAUGACGUUAAGCACCUGCUUGGCUGGGAAAUGAAUUGGAGGUGGAGGAACUCAGUCAUCCGGGGUACCGGCAGCAGGAUGAAGUGUUCCUUUCAUCACUACCUUUAUUUCC
This is a long non-coding RNA of Homo sapiens (human), 318 nucleotides long. RefSeq lists it as uncharacterized. Lineage: Eukaryota; Metazoa; Chordata; Mammalia; Primates; Hominidae. The record is from RefSeq and is a predicted model, not a curated record. The transcript is spliced from 3 exons.